Gasterosteus aculeatus aculeatus (three-spined stickleback) is the source of this 362-nucleotide long non-coding RNA. The record is from Ensembl. NCBI's taxonomy places the organism in Eukaryota, Metazoa, Chordata, Actinopteri, Perciformes, Gasterosteidae.
CUCAUGUUUGGUCGGAUCCCCCGCCUACCUGUGGAUGUCCUCUUUCGUGCUGUUCUUCAUGACUCUGCUGUGGUGAGCUAUGAGAAGUAUGUGGCCAGUCUCGCCAACGAUCUGAAGGAAGCAAUGGUCAUUGCUCAGGGUGCUCCUGGCCAACAGGAAGGAGAGGGGUAAAAAGAAGCUUGCUGACAGGUGGGACUCGACAGUCUACACUGUGGUAGAUGUGAAUACAGAGACACACACAUACAGGAUCCGCGACACAAUCACUGGACGGGAGAAGGUGGUCCACAGGAACUUGCUGAUGCUGGUUAAUUUUCUUCCUGUGGGGGAUACAUGUGACAUAUCAGAUCUGGCCUCAUCCUUGC